GAGAAAUUCCGACCAUCUCAGCCGAAAUGAAAAUAAAAACUAUGCGCCCGCCUCCCUCUCCUUCCAUGUGUUUUUUGUUUUUUCCUUUCCAUGUUUUCCCAAGAUUUUUUUAAAAAAAAAAAAUUAUUUAUUUAUUUACGCCGAACGAUAACUCCCCUACUUUCGUCGUCUUCAUUCUUUCCGUCGCAGUACCCUCACCUUACUCAAAAACUAGACUUCAAAAUAAGCAGACAGGCCUGCAAACGACCACACGCAUGGUCAUGGCCUCGGCAAUCUGCGCUCCCACGUUUUUAUCAUCACCCGUCUCUUCUACAAAAUCAGCUAUUUACACCACAUCUUCUUCUCUAACGUCACACUCUAAAACCCCAAAACUUCAUCUCCCCAAGCGGUUCCUCCACUGGGCCCCAGUCUUUUCUCUCCAUGGAGUGGUUUGAAGCAUCUGGACCAAACCGCAUUCGACCUCUACGUCGUUUGCCUGAUUGAUCAGAUCGGGGCCGUUCAUCCGUGCCAAUUUGUUUAGGGCUGUCGAACUUCAUCAACCUGACGGAGGUCCGACCCCACAAUCCGACGGCCGACAACUCCUCCAUCCCGCAGCGGCAUCGCCACCGUCAUGCACCUGCAGCAGCUCCACUCAAACAAUCCAUUGCUUCGCCCGUCUCCGUCGACACCGCCUCUGUCUCUCAUAGGUAACAGGUUACCAUUCAAUCUCAUCCUGAAUUUUCUGUUUGUUUCUCGGGAAAAUGGAAAAAAGAAAGGAUAAAUGUAAAUUCGCAGAUUUUAAUUUCUUAAGAAUUUUUUUAAAUCUAUGCUUGUUCUACCGUUUCUUGCCUUCACUUUUCUUUAAUUCCGAAUUUUUUUGGAUCAAUAUUUAUCUCACGAGACCUGAAGCUGUAAAAGUCGGUAACUUUUACAGAGCUGAAAAGUACUUGGCUUUGUCUAUUAUAAUGAAUAAAACUACUUGAUUUGGAGGUCUUCUAGCUGUUGUGCUGCCGGCAGGCGACGAAAGGUUGAAGGAACUGGAGUUUUUGGACUGGCGAUUUGAAGGGACCAAAAUCACGUUGGUGGGUUUUAUCGGACGGCUUUGCUUUCUGUUGUGGAAAACAGAGAAGAGAUUUUGGUAGGAAGAGACGGAAUGGGUCUCUGUUUUCGGUGGGGCUGAGUGCAGCUUUUACUUCCAUGUGAUAGAAAUGAUGCCUAGUUUCUUCAAUAAACAUAACUCAGAAAUAGACAGAUUCGCUGAGAACAACUCAUCUCAGUUCUAAAAAACAAAAGAAAAGGAAGCAUUCGCUGAGAACAACUCAUUUCAGUUUGUAAAACACGUUUGGAUGUAAGAUGGUUCGACCGUACGAGAACGCUUCAGAUUUCUAUGUUUCACUUCACUGUCCAAACAACGCGUCUCAGUCCAUUUCCUAUUUUUAUUUCCCUAUCUAUUUUCUUUAGUAUUUUUUUUUUUCAUUUUUUUUCAUAAAGACUCAUGCCAUUCCAUGCCAUGCCGCCAUGGGGUCAUUCUUGUUAAGGUAAUGAUACCUGAGACUACCCGUUUGCUACUGAGGGUUUUUUUUUUUUAUCCUACGCAGUACGCCCAGACUUCCACCUGCUAUCGUUUUCUCUGCUCAUAUGUUUUGACUGAGGAGACAGUCAGAGCCCUAUGAAAUUUCAAGCUCUUCUGUUUUCAUUUUAAAUUUCAAAGCUGAAAUCUUAGACCCUUUCCUUUCAUUUUCCUUUCAGUUUGUUCUCGAAUCUCAGACCUAACAUUUUUGUUCUCGAUUUGAAUAAAGAGGCUUCAUAUUUCAGAGGAACAAAAAGCUUCUGACAAAGCAGACAGUCAAAUCUCUGAUAUAUGAGCAAAACCAGCAAUAGUAAGUAGAAGGCAGGGACAUAGAAUAAGAAAAGUAAAAAAAAAAAAAAAUGUGGGUAGUAAACGAGUAGUCUUGAGUGGUAAGGUAUCAUUACCCUUCUUCUUAUCCUUUCCAAGCAAGUUUAGAUCACAUGUUCUCUCUGUUAGUAUGGGUUUCUCUCCCUCCCUCACAUUUCCCUUAGCCACGGCCUCACCACGAGCACGCGGGCACCACCCACCGUGAGCAGCAGCCACUGCAAGACACCUACAUAGAAACUCCCUCUCUCAUUCUCGGCUUCUCCCUCUCUCCCUCAUUAUCUACUGUACAGCCACUAUCUUCAACCUAGGUUCGCUGCCGCCCAUGGACCCAUCAUUGAUGGAAACUCAGCCUAGCAGCCCCUGGAAGCUCCUUUGUGCGCCACCUGCUCAGAGACACAAUAGCACGACCAGGAACCAGCCACAGUGACUGCAUUGCCGUGAGAUCCAGCUGUUGGCUCCACUCCUCCACUGCAGACAACCACAGGCAGUGCUGACAACCACCACCGUCAGCUACUCCACAGACCCCUGUAAGCACCACCAGCUGCCGGUGUCACCCCACACCCAACCAAGGGGACAUUUAAGCACCGUGAAGCUUAGCCCCUUUUUCCCUCCCUGCCACCCACGGCCAAACCAUCUGACAGCAAGUCUCCACCGUAGCCCCUCAACCACCGCUUUUGGCACCACCGGAUGCCACCCCAAACCUCCACCUCACGUCGGAAGCUAGCUACUCAAACAGCCUUCUCGACAAGCCGCAGCACGUCCAGCAAGUUCUGUUUUUCAUCAACUGAAACAGAGCAAGUCUUCUUGCUCCUCAGCCCAGUUCCGCCCUACACGACCGUCCAUCACCAGUAAAACCACCGUAAGCACCUCUCUUCUUCCUCUACUCAAUUUCUGUCCAAGAAAACUGAUAAUCGACAGCAUUUUAUGUUCCCCGGUUAUUACACACAUUUUUUAAUUUUGAUUACGUAUACUGAAGUGUGAAAUCAAGAUGGUAUAUGCUGGUGUUUUGGUGGUUGGGCAGAGAAAGAUCAUGGCUUUAAAUAUAUGGAAUCAUGUAAUUAUGUUGGCCGGGUUGUAUAUUUGGUUGAUGGUGUUAUAGUUGAUGGCUUGGACAUACGAAAGUUAUGAUAUAUGGUGGGGAUUUUGUGGAGCCAUGAAUGAAGCUUAUAAAGCUUUAUAAUUGUGUUGUGAUUGGUGUAUAAAUGAUAUGGACAGAUUUUAUAUAUUGAAUGUGUUGGUUACAACAAACUAUGAGGAAGUGAGGUAUUGAUUGGGAACU
Molecule: long non-coding RNA, 3155 nt
Organism: Carya illinoinensis
Lineage: Eukaryota; Viridiplantae; Streptophyta; Magnoliopsida; Fagales; Juglandaceae
Exons: 2
Source: RefSeq, a predicted model, not a curated record